CUGCCUACCGGGAGCUGACGGACGACGACUGCCAACACCUUAGCCCCAGCUGGCCCAGGAAACUGCUGCGGUGGCAGGUGGCGGCGGCAGGAGGGCUCGGCUGCCCCGAGCGCCCGCCAGGCUUCUGCCCUAAGAAGAUGGCCUACUAUGGAAAAUGCAUUGAAACUGUGAUCGAGCAACUCGACAAAUUUACACCCAAGAGGGACAACCCUGAGCAGUUCCUGGAGGCUGCGGCCACCUCCCUGCAGCUGACCGUGUUUUCCACAGAGACCUGCUCUUCGUAUGGGGAGGUGCUCCUGGCACCCAGAAUGUGUGUCAGGCCAGGCUCUGGUGAAAGAAGCCUUGGCCGGGACCCGGGAUAUGACAUCCACACUGCGGUUCCAUCCUCAGUCAACACAGAUGAGAAGGGUCAGCCCUGGAGCGCCCCCAUGCCCCACCCCCACUUUGGGGGGCAUCUUAUCUCGGGAAAUGGGUCCUCCAUCCCCCAGGCGCCCCAGGGCUGUGGCAGUGAGGGUGCGCAAGGCCACAACUUGUGCUGUAUUUGUGGUAACCGAGACUUGGGAAUCACUGACUGGGUCUCCGACAGAGGCAGGGGCUGGCCUGGGCAGUGAGGCUCCCGGGGAGCCGAGGGCUGCAGGCUUCUGUACACACCUCCUUCAUCUUCCUACCCACACCUGGAAGAAGUCACAGGCCCACCUGGAGGCUGCCCAACUCCUCAGCUCCUGUCCUCCCAUCCCUGGGUUUUCCUCACAGCUCCAUCCUGGUCCUGGCACCCCCUGCAACCUCGGCAGCCCUGCCCCACUCAGGGGCCUCCCUGUCACCUGGUCUCAGCUCCCACCACGAGGUGCUGAUCUCACAUCCACCACCUGUCAGUGGCAUGUGCCUGGGGAACAGGAGCUUGGAUUGCAGGGCCCCUGCCUCUAGGAAUGUGGGACUUGGUCUCCAUUGGAUGGGGCCUCCAGAGGAAGCUGAGCCCACCAGGGGAAAUCCUGGGGGGCUGUCACAUGGGCCAUCACCAACCCAUCAUUGCCCAGGAGCAGGGAGCGGGCACUCGCCCCCUGGAAAGAGGGCGCUCAUAGCAAGUGUGCUAAUUCAGGCUGCCUGCCUGUCCUUGCAGGCCACAGCCCUCUGUGCCGCUGUGCUCUGGAUGAACUUGGCCUAUGUGCGCUGCUUUUCUGCACGGCCCCUGGGGGCUGCCCUGGCCAUGCUCCAGCUCCCGCUCUCACUACCUGCUCAGGUGCACCUGUGCUGUUCCCCCAGGCCACAGUCUGAGCCCACCUUCCCUUGGGGUAGAAUGAGGGGUUCAUCCUUCAUUAGCUACCUCUGGGGCAGCCUCAAGAAAGCCCAGAGGGGAGGUGGUGUGAGUGGGUUACAAAGGCUACAGGGGUUGGGGCCAAGGCCUCUGCCGUAAGAGAAGGCCUGGGGCCCCCACCCAUCCCUGCUCCCAGCUUCUGGAAGAGGCGCCUCCUCCGGCUGGGGCCUGGCAGCCAGCAGGGGCUGGAGAGGGGAGCAGGGCCUGUGUGCAGAGCUGCAGGCCUCCGUGGGCACCUCUCCCUCCACUUCAGCACCCUCUGGCCCCCAGCUCUUUCCCUGAGCCCCUGAGCACUGUGGGGAAGUGAUGCAAACAGCUCGGGCCCAGGUUCAUCCACACUCCUCUUCCCAGCUAAGGCCUCAGCACGACGGGCACACCUCUCAUCCCGCCGGCCUGCCCUCGCCUUGCACGUCCAAAACAGACAAUAGCGAAGGCCCAGGUCCCCUUGGCCAGAAGCCCGUCCUGGGAGCUGGCGUCACCCACCCCACUGCCUGGGCCCACCUGUAGCCCGGCCCCUCUGGCCAGCCCAAGAGCAGCUCCAGCAGCUCCUCCUAUCCGUCCCCCUCAUUUCCCUCAGGAUCUUUCCCGUCAGCCACCCGUGCUGCUACGUCUCUCACCCUAAAAACAUUUUUUUUAAGUCCUCUGUACUCCCCUGAGGCUCCCGCGGUCCUUCCCUUCUAUCUAACAGAUUCCUCGAAGUCCCUGCCACCAGCGGCAGCUCUUCCUCCAUCCUCCCUCACACCCCUCCCUGCGGACUUCCCCCACCCCUCCACCCACAGCGCCAGUCUGGGUCACCCCGCACCCCCUUGUUGCCAAAUCCAGUGGGGCAGCCUCAGCUCCUCUGACCCAGCUGACCCCGCCCCCAGCUCCGGGGCCUUCCGAUCAGCUUCCUGGGUACCCCCUGCGCCAGGCCUGCAUCUCACCUGGCAGCCACUCCUUCUCAGGCUCGGGCCUCCCCUGUCGGGUGUGCGGGGUGCACGGGCUCAGCGGCUGCUCUCUGCUCUCUUUGCUAUACACACUCCUGGUCCCCUCGCCUGCUGACAGCUCCUGCUCCUCCCUCCAUCCUUGACCUCUCCCGAGCCUGGACUCACAUCUCCUUGGGUGUCCAGUGGGCACCUCCCGUGUGACACGUCAGUAGAUGAAUGAAUCCAUGUGACCUCCCCCAGAGCUGCUGAUCCGGGCAUCCCCAGUUCAGCCGGCAGCCGCUCCGUCUCCCCUUGCUCCAGUGGGAACCCUGGCGCCUCCUGGGCACCCCCAUUCCUCUAGACCACAUCUGUUCAUCAUCAGCUCUGCCUUCGACUCUGCCAUGUGUGCACUCUGCUCCAGCUGCACUGGUCUCCUAGUGUUUCUGGAACAUUCCACGCGCUCCCCACUGCACUAGCUGUUGCCUCCACCUGGGAAACUUUCCCCCUGAUGCUGUCUUGGCCUGCGCAGCCACAUAGCACCUUGGCAGGGAAAGGGGUGUGUGUUUACCCCUU
RNAcentral lists this long non-coding RNA (2790 nucleotides) under Homo sapiens (human). RNAcentral's name for it is "long non-coding RNA NONHSAT094787.2". The record is from RNAcentral. Lineage: Eukaryota; Metazoa; Chordata; Mammalia; Primates; Hominidae.